CCUACGGGUGGCAGCAGUGAGGAAUAUUGGUCAAUGGUCGCGAGCCUGAACCAGCCAAGUAGCGUGAAGGAUGACUGCCCUAUGGGUUGUAAACUUCUUUUAUACAGGAAUAAAGUGAGUCACGUGUGACUUUUUGUAUGUACUUUAUGAAUAAGGAUCGGCUAACUCCGUGCCAGCAGCCGCGGUAAUACGGAAGGUCCGAGCGUUAUCCGGAUUUAUUGGGUUUAAAGGGAGCGUAGGUGGGAUGUUAAGUCUGUCGUGAAAUGUUGCGGCUCAACCGUAGCAUUGCAAUUGUUACUGGCAGUCUUGAGUACAGUUGAGGUAGGCGGAAUUCGUGGUGUAGCGGUGAAAUGCUUAGAUAUCACGAAGAACUCCGAUUGCGAAGGCAGCUUACGAAACUGCCACUGACAUUGAUGCUCGAAAGUGUGGGUAUCGAACAGGAUUAGAUACCCUGGUAGUC
RNAcentral lists this ribosomal RNA (460 nucleotides) under uncultured bacterium. RNAcentral's name for it is "partial 16S ribosomal RNA". It matches the Rfam family "Bacterial small subunit ribosomal RNA", at positions 338 to 795 of the family's 1533-position model. The record is from RNAcentral.